GACGGACUGUGCGAACGUUGUUCGGAAUUACUGGGCUUAAAGGGCGCGUAGGCGGUGUGUUAAGUCGGCGGUGAAAUACUUCGGCUCAACCGGAGAAUGGCCGCUGAAACUGGCACGCUCGAGGGAGGUAGAGGUGCACGGAACUUCCGGUGGAGCGGUGAAAUGCGUUGAUAUCGGAAGGAACGCCGGUGGCGAAAGCGAUGCACUGGACCUCUUCUGACGCUGAGGCGCGAAAGCUAGGGUAGCGAACGGGAUUAGAAACCCGUGUAGU
This 271-nucleotide ribosomal RNA is filed under the name uncultured bacterium. RNAcentral's name for it is "partial 16S ribosomal RNA". It matches the Rfam family "Bacterial small subunit ribosomal RNA", at positions 524 to 794 of the family's 1533-position model. The record is from RNAcentral.